This 318-nucleotide long non-coding RNA is filed under the name Elaeis guineensis (African oil palm). Its description in RNAcentral is "long non-coding RNA (EGUI_LNC024873)". Lineage: Eukaryota; Viridiplantae; Streptophyta; Magnoliopsida; Arecales; Arecaceae. The record is from RNAcentral.
CUUUCAUCCGAUCUUGUUAGGCGGCCGGGUCUCGCCACCCUUAACCCUUGCUGCAGAAGUCGUGGAUGGAGCCCGGCUCCCGUAGGAGUCCGGGUGAAGUCUUCCUUGGCGUCGUGGACGGAACCCGGCUCCCGUAGGAGUCCGGAUGAAGUCUUCCUUGGCGUCGUGGACGGAACCUGGCUUCCGUGGGAGUCCGGAUGAAGUCUUCCUUAGCAUCGUGGACGGAACCCGACUCCCGUGGGAGUCCAGGUGAAGUCUUCCUUGACGUCGUGGACGGAACCCGGCUCCCGUAGGAGUCCGGGUGAAGUCUUCCUUGGC